This 553-nucleotide ribosomal RNA is filed under the name uncultured bacterium. RNAcentral describes it as "bacterial SSU rRNA". It matches the Rfam family "Bacterial small subunit ribosomal RNA", at positions 777 to 1335 of the family's 1533-position model. The record is from RNAcentral.
AAUAGAUACCCGGGUAGUCCACGCCGUAAACGAUGAAUACUAGGUGUCGGAGGGUACCACCUUCGGUGCCGCAGCAAACGCAAUAAGUAUUCCGCCUGGGGAGUACGGUCGCAAGAUUAAAACUCAAAGGAAUUGACGGGGACCCGCACAAGCAGCGGAGCAUGUGGUUUAAUUCGAAGCAACGCGAAGAACCUUACCUAGACUUGACAUCUCCUGAAUUACUCGUAACGGAGGAAGCCCUUCGGGGCAGGAAGACAGGUGGUGCAUGGUUGUCGUCAGCUCGUGUCGUGAGAUGUUGGGUUAAGUCCCGCAACGAGCGCAACCCUUAUUGUUAGUUGCUACCAUUAAGUUGAGCACUCUAACGAGACUGCCGCGGUUAACGUGGAGGAAGGCGGGGAUGACGUCAAAUCAUCAUGCCCCUUAUGUCUAGGGCUACACACGUGCUACAAUGGCCGGUACAACAAGAUGCAAUCCCGUGAGGGGGAGCUAAACUCAAAAGCCGGUCCCAGUUCGGAUUGUAGGCUGAAACUCGCCUACAUGAAGUUGGAGUUGC